GAUGAAGAACGUAGCGAAACGCGAUACGUAAUGUGAAUUGCAGAAUUCAGUGAAUCAUCGAAUCUUUGAACGCACCUUGCGCCCCUCGGCAUUCCGAGGGGCAUGCCUGUUUGAGUGUCACGGAUCCUUCGAACCCCGCCGGUCUCCGACGAGCCGGCCGCCUGGGUUCGGUCCUGGGCGCUACGCCACCCCUCCGGGGCUGGCCCGCCUCACAAGCAUCAGCUGGGCCUCGCGGCGUGGGCGGGCUCCGAUCGGCGUGAUAAGUCAUCUGCCGAGAGGGUGCCCGUCCGUCCCGCGGAUCGCGGUCCGCUCCCAACCCCUCCCCGCGCGCCGUCCCCCCCCGGGGAGCGCACGGGGACGUUUCGACGCUCUGGCCUCAAAUCAGGUAGGACCACCCGCUGAACUUAAGCAUAUCAAUAAGCGGAGGA
RNAcentral lists this unclassified non-coding RNA (428 nucleotides) under soil metagenome. RNAcentral describes it as "partial contains 5.8S ribosomal RNA, internal transcribed spacer 2, and large subunit ribosomal RNA". The stretch from base 1 to 120 matches the Rfam family "5.8S ribosomal RNA", at positions 35 to 154 of the family's 154-position model. The record is from RNAcentral.